This 227-nucleotide ribosomal RNA is filed under the name uncultured bacterium. RNAcentral's name for it is "partial 16S ribosomal RNA". It matches the Rfam family "Bacterial small subunit ribosomal RNA", at positions 107 to 334 of the family's 1533-position model. The record is from RNAcentral.
UGAGUAACACGUAUCCAACCUGCCGUCUACUCUUGGACAGCCUUCUGAAAGGAAGAUUAAUACAAGAUGGCAUCAUGAGUUCACAUGUUCACAUGAUUAAAGGUAUUCCGGUAGACGAUGGGGAUGCGUUCCAUUAGAUAGCAGGCGGGGUAACGGCCCACCUAGUCUUCGAUGGAUAGGGGUUCUGAGAGGAAGGUCCCCCACAUUGGAACUGAGACACGGUCCAA